UAUAAGUAUAACCUGCCAGACAGGGAAACUGCGUACGGCUCAUUACACCAGCUGUAAUUUACUUGACCUUGACAACCUACUUGGAUAACUGUGGUAAUUCUAGAGCUAAUACAUGCACCAAAGCUCCGAUCCUCGCGGAGAGGAGCGCAUUUGUUCGCCACAAAACCAAGCGCCUUCACAGGCGUUCAGUGUUGACUCAGAACAACUCAGCUGAUCGCACGGUCUCGUACCGGCGACGUGUCUUUCAAGUGUCUGCCUUAUCAACUUUCGAUGGUAGUGUACCUGACUACCAUGGUGAUGACGGGUAACGGAGGAUAAGGGUUCGACUCCGGAGAAGGGGCCUGAGAAAUGGCCACUACGUCUAAGGAUGGCAGCAGGCGCGCAAAUUACCCACUCUCAACAUGAGGAGGUAGUGA
Molecule: ribosomal RNA, 416 nt
Filed under: unidentified nematode Sourhope farm
Lineage: Eukaryota; Metazoa; Nematoda
Description: SSU rRNA
Rfam family: Eukaryotic small subunit ribosomal RNA
Source: RNAcentral